This 253-nucleotide ribosomal RNA is filed under the name uncultured bacterium. RNAcentral's name for it is "partial 16S ribosomal RNA". It matches the Rfam family "Bacterial small subunit ribosomal RNA", at positions 524 to 776 of the family's 1533-position model. The record is from RNAcentral.
UACGGGGGGGGCAAGCGUUGUUCGGAAUUACUGGGCGUAAAGGCUCGUAGGCGGCCAACUAAGUCGGACGUGAAAUCCCUCGGCUUAACCGGGGAACUGCGUCCGAUACUGGAUGGCUUGAGUUCGGGAGAGGGAUGCGGAAUUCCAGGUGUAGCGGUGGAAAUGCGUAGAUAUCUGGAGGAACACCGGUGGCGAAGGCGGCAUCCUGGACCGACACUGACGCUGAGGAGCGAAAGCCAGGGGAGCAAGCGGG